Molecule: ribosomal RNA, 506 nt
Filed under: uncultured bacterium
Lineage: Bacteria
Description: partial 16S ribosomal RNA
Rfam family: Bacterial small subunit ribosomal RNA
Source: RNAcentral
AGUGAACGCUGGCGGUAGGCCUAACACAUGCAAGUCGAACGGCAGCACAGGAGAGCUUGCUCUCUGGGUGGCGAGUGGCGGACGGGUGAGGAAUACAUCGGAAUCUACUCUGUCGUGGGGGAUAACGUAGGGAACCUUACGCUAAUACCGCAUACGACCUACGGGUGAAAGCAGGGGACCUUCGGGCCUUGCGCGAUUGAAUGAGCCGAUGUCGGAUUAGCUAGUUGGCGGGGUAAAGGCCCACCAAGGCGACGAUCCGUAGCUGGUCUGAGAGGAUGAUCGGCCACACUGGAACUGAGACACGGUCCAGACUCCUACGGGAGGCAGCAGUGGGGAAUAUUGGACAAUGGGCGCAAGCCUGAUCCAGCCAUACCGGGUGGGUGAAGAAGGCCUUCGGGUUGUAAAGCCCUUUUGUUGGGAAAGAAAUCCAGCUGGCUAAUACCCGGUUGGGAUGACGGUACCCAAAGAAUAAGCACCGGCUAACUUCGUGCCAGCAGCCGCCGUAA